RNAcentral lists this ribosomal RNA (460 nucleotides) under Tylopilus plumbeoviolaceoides. Its description in RNAcentral is "partial small subunit ribosomal RNA". It matches the Rfam family "Bacterial small subunit ribosomal RNA", at positions 484 to 952 of the family's 1533-position model. The record is from RNAcentral. Lineage: Eukaryota; Fungi; Basidiomycota; Agaricomycetes; Boletales; Boletaceae.
CUAUUAGUGUCGUCUAAAUUUGGUGCCAGAAGACUCGGUAAGACCUUAGACACAAACGUUAAUCAUCAUAAUCAGGCGUAAAGGGUGUGUAGGCGGCUUUAAAAUAUAAUUAUAUAAUUAUAAUAUAAAAUUAUUAAAGCUAGAAUCUAAAAGAGGAUAAGCUAAACAACAUAAUUAAUUGGGACUGACAACUUAUAAUAAUGUGGAGUACUAAAGGUUAAAGCUAUUUAUCUACUUAAGAUUGACGCUCAGAAACGAAGGGGAGAAUAAGAAACUUAGAUUAGAGACCUAAUUAUCUCUCUCAGUCAACGAUGAAUGGUAGUUAUUAAUAAUUAUUUAAUAAAUAUUAGUAACGAGGUUAACACGAUGACCAUUCCGCCUUGUUAGUAAGACUGCAAAGUUGAAAACAAAAAAAUUAGUCGGUCUUGAAGCAAACGAAGUGAAGCAUGUUAUUUAAUUC